AUUGAACGCUGGCGGCAUGCUUUACACAUGCAAGUCGAACGGCAGCACGGGCUUCGGCCUGGUGGCGAGUGGCGAACGGGUGAGUAAUAUAUCGGAACGUACCCAGAAGAGGGGGAUAACGUAGCGAAAGUUACGCUAAUACCGCAUACGAUCUAUGGAUGAAAGCAGGGGACCGCAAGGCCUUGUGCUCCUGGAGCGGCCGAUAUCUGAUUAGCUAGUUGGUGAGGUAAAGGCUCACCAAGGCGACGAUCAGUAGCUGGUCUGAGAGGACGACCAGCCACACUGGAACUGAGACACGGUCCAGACUCCUACGGGAGGCAGCAGUGGGGAAUUUUGGACAAUGGGCGCAAGCCUGAUCCAGCAAUGCCGCGUGAGUGAAGAAGGCCUUCGGGUUGUAAAGCUCUUUUGUCAGGGAAGAAACGGUAGAGGCUAAUAUCCUUUGCUAAUGACGGUACCUGAAGAAUAAGCACCGGCUAACUACGUG
RNAcentral lists this ribosomal RNA (484 nucleotides) under uncultured bacterium. RNAcentral describes it as "partial 16S ribosomal RNA". It matches the Rfam family "Bacterial small subunit ribosomal RNA", at positions 30 to 507 of the family's 1533-position model. The record is from RNAcentral.